This 404-nucleotide long non-coding RNA is filed under the name Marmota monax (woodchuck). The record is from RNAcentral. Lineage: Eukaryota; Metazoa; Chordata; Mammalia; Rodentia; Sciuridae.
GGAAAACCACUGUACUGUGCCGCGGUCUGGCUGGGCACAAAUCACGAGCCACUCAAGCAGGAACAAACUUUAUUUCUGAACUCACGCGAACGCCACCCACUCGGUCUUCUCCGGGACACACCACACACCAACCGGAACUCCCUCCACCGGAACUCCACCCACCAACGCGAACUCCCCAGGAAUCCCAGGAGAACUCCAAAGUAGUGGGCAUCGAGGUGGACAGUAGAGGUCUAUAUACAAUUGAAUACACAGCCUGUUUCAAUCCAGCAUCAUCUCGUCACAGCAAUUAUAGACGGCUUAACUUAAUAUCAUCAUCUUAAUGGCUCGCCUCUCAACCAUUACUUCCGGCAAAACGCCAGUACUGUCUGGCACUGGAUUCUAUCCUCAGCCCCACAAACAAAUAA